GAUGAAGAACGUAGCGAAAUGCGAUAAGUAAUGUGAAUUGCAGAAUUCAGUGAAUCAUCGAAUCUUUGAACGCACAUUGCGCCCAUUAGUAUUCUAGUGGGCAUGCCUGUUCGAGCGUCAUUUCAACCCUUAAGCCUCUGUUGCUUAGCGUUGGGAGCCUACCUACCCGGUAGAUCCUCAAAGUUAGCUGGCAGGGUCGAGGUUCGCCCUAAGCGUAGUAGUUCUUUCUCGCUUCUGCGGCUGCCUAGGCCAUCGCCACAAGCCUUUUAAACUUCAAUGGUUGACCUCGGAUCAGGUAGGAAUACCCGCUGAACUUAAGCAUACAAUAAGCGGAGGA
RNAcentral lists this unclassified non-coding RNA (337 nucleotides) under soil metagenome. Its description in RNAcentral is "partial contains 5.8S ribosomal RNA, internal transcribed spacer 2, and large subunit ribosomal RNA". The stretch from base 1 to 120 matches the Rfam family "5.8S ribosomal RNA", at positions 35 to 154 of the family's 154-position model. The record is from RNAcentral.